GACGAAGGAUGCAAGCGUUAUCCGGAUUCAUUGGGUUUAAAGGGCGCGUAGGCGGCCUGGUAAGUCAGGGGUGAAAUCCUGGAGCUCAACUCCAGAACUGCCUUUGAUACUGGCGACCUUGAGUCCGGGAGAGGUGAGUGGAACUGCGAGUGUAGAGGUGAAAUUCGUAGAUAUUCGCAAGAACACCAGUGGCGAAGGCGGCUCGCUGGCCCGGUACUGACGCUGAGGUGCGAAAGCGUGGGGAGCAAACAGG
RNAcentral lists this ribosomal RNA (253 nucleotides) under uncultured bacterium. RNAcentral describes it as "partial 16S ribosomal RNA". It matches the Rfam family "Bacterial small subunit ribosomal RNA", at positions 524 to 776 of the family's 1533-position model. The record is from RNAcentral.